CACUCCUACGGGAGGCAGCAGUGGGGAAUUUUGGACAAUGGGCGAAAGCCUGAUCCAGCAAUGCCGCGUGAGUGAAGAUGGCCUUCGGGUUGUAAAGCUCUUUUGUCAGGGAAGAAACGGUGAAAGCUAAUAUCUUUUGCUAAUGACGGUACCUGAAGAAUAAGCACCGGCUAACUACGUGCCAGCAGCCGCGGUAAUACGUAGGGUGCAAGCGUUAAUCGGAAUUACUGGGCGUAAAGCGUGCGCAGGCGGUUUUGUAAGUCUGAUGUGAAAUCCCCGGGCUCAACCUGGGAAUUGCAGUGGAGACUGCAAGGCUAGAAUCUGGCAGAGGGGGGUAGAAUUCCACGUGUAGCAGGGAAAUGCGUAUAUAUGUGGAGGAACACCGAUGGCGAAGGCAGCCCCCUGGGUCAAGAUUGACGCUCAUGCACGAAAGCGUGGGGAGCAAACAGGAUUAGAUACCCUUGUAGUCCCA
RNAcentral lists this ribosomal RNA (472 nucleotides) under uncultured organism. RNAcentral's name for it is "partial 16S ribosomal RNA". It matches the Rfam family "Bacterial small subunit ribosomal RNA", at positions 334 to 797 of the family's 1533-position model. The record is from RNAcentral.